This 513-nucleotide ribosomal RNA is filed under the name Pristimantis fenestratus (Rio Mamore robber frog). RNAcentral's name for it is "partial large subunit ribosomal RNA". It matches the Rfam family "Bacterial large subunit ribosomal RNA", at positions 1835 to 2572 of the family's 2925-position model. The record is from RNAcentral. Lineage: Eukaryota; Metazoa; Chordata; Amphibia; Anura; Strabomantidae.
CCCCCUCCCCAUAAGAGGUCCAGCCUGCCCAGUGACCCAGUUCAACGGCCGCGGUAACCUAACCGUGCGAAGGUAGCGUAAUCACUUGUCUUCUAAAUAAAGACUAGUAUGAAAGGCAUCACGAGAAUUCAACUGUCUCCUUUUUUCAAUCAGUGAACCUAAUCUUCCUGUGAAAAAGCAGGAAUUUACAAAUAAGACGAGAAGACCCUAUGAAGCUUUAAACACUAGUCAACUGCUAACAUUACUAUACCCCGGCCCCAAAUUUAUGCACCAUGAUCACAUGUUUUUGGUUGGGGUGACCGCGGAAAAUAACCUAACCUCCACAAUGAAAACCCUCAAGCCACAACUUUAAGUAUCAACAAAUUGACAUCCAUUGACCCAAUAUAUUGAUUAAUGAACCAAGUUACUCUAGGGAUAACAGCGCAAUCCACUUCAAGAGCCCCUAUCGACAAGUGGGCUUACGACCUCGAUGUUGGAUCAGGGCAUCCCAGUGGUGCAGCCACUACUAAUGGU